UUGACCUCGGAUCAGGUAGGGAUACCCGCUGAACUUAAGCAUAUCAAUAAGCGGAGGAAAAGAAACCAACAGGGAUUGCCCCAGUAACGGCGAGUGAAGCGGCAAGAGCUCAAAUUUGAAAGCUGGCUCCUUCGGGGUCCGCAUUGUAAUUUGUAGAGGAUGCUUCGGGAGCGGUCCCCAUCUAAGUGCCCUGGAACGGGACGUCAUAGAGGGUGAGAAUCCCGUAUGGGAUGGGGUGUCCGCGCCCGUGUGAAGCUCCUUCGACGAGUCGAGUUGUUUGGGAAUGCAGCUCUAAAUGGGUGGUAAAUUUCAUCUAAAGCUAAAUAUUGGCCGGAGACCGAUAGCGCACAAGUAGAGUGAUCGAAAGAUGAAAAGCACUUUGAAAAGAGAGUUAAAAAGCACGUGAAAUUGUUGAAAGGGAAGCGCUUGCGACCAGACUCGCUCGCGGGGUUCAGCCGGCAUUCGUGCCGGUGUACUUCCCCGCGGGCGGGCCAGCGUCGGUUUGGGCGGUCGGUCAAAGGCCCUCGGAAGGUAACGCCCCUAGGGGCGUCUUAUAGCCGAGGGUGCAAUGCGACCUGCCUAGACCGAGGAACGCGCUUCGGCUCGGACGCUGGCAUAAUGG
This 622-nucleotide ribosomal RNA is filed under the name Penicillium griseofulvum. Its description in RNAcentral is "eukaryotic LSU rRNA". It matches the Rfam family "Eukaryotic large subunit ribosomal RNA", at positions 1 to 637 of the family's 3401-position model. Lineage: Eukaryota; Fungi; Ascomycota; Eurotiomycetes; Eurotiales; Aspergillaceae. The record is from RNAcentral.